This 466-nucleotide ribosomal RNA is filed under the name uncultured bacterium. RNAcentral describes it as "partial 16S ribosomal RNA". It matches the Rfam family "Bacterial small subunit ribosomal RNA", at positions 28 to 506 of the family's 1533-position model. The record is from RNAcentral.
GACGAACGCUGGCGGCGUGCUUAACACAUGCAAGUCGAACGGAAAGGCCCUGCUUUUGUGGGGUGCUCGAGUGGCGAACGGGUGAGUAACACGUGAGUAACCUGCCCUUGACUUUGGGAUAACUUCAGGAAACUGGGGCUAAUACCGGAUAGGAGCUCCUGCUGCAUGGUGGGGGUUGGAAAGUUUCGGCGGUUGGGGAUGGACUCGCGGCUUAUCAGCUUGUUGGUGGGUAGUGGCUUACCAAGGCUUUGACGGGUAGCCGGCCUGAGAGGGUGACCGGCCACAUUGGGACUGAGAUACGGCCCAGACUCCUACGGGAGGCAGCAGAGGGGAAUAUUGCACAAUGGGCGGAAGCCUGAUGCAGCAACGCCGCGUGCGGGAUGACGGCCUUCGGGUUGUAAACCGCUUUCGCCUGUGACGAAGCGUGAGUGACGGUAAUGGGUAAAGAAGCACCGGCUAACUACGU